CCUACGGGAGGCAGCAGUGAGGAAUAUUGGUCAAUGGCCGGAAGGCUGAACCAGCCAAGCCGCGUGAAGGACGAAGGUGCCAAGCAUUGUAAACUUCUUUUGUCAAGGGACAAAAUCAGGCUCGAGAGCCUGACCGAGGGUACUUGAAGAAAAAGCAUCGGCUAACUCCGUGCCAGCAGCCGCGGUAAUACGGAGGAUGCGAGCGUUAUCCGGAUUUAUUGGGUUUAAAGGGUGCGUAGGCGGGCUUUUAAGUCAGCGGUAAAAAUUCGGGGCUCAACCCCGUCCGGCCGUUGAAACUGGGGGCCUUGAGUGGGCGAGAAGAAGGCGGAAUGCGUGGUGUAGCGGUGAAAUGCAUAGAUAUCACGCAGAACCCCGAUUGCGAAGGCAGCCUUCCGGCGCCCUACUGACGCUGAGGCACGAAAGUGCGGGGAUCGAACAGGAUUAGAUACCCUUGUAGUC
RNAcentral lists this ribosomal RNA (459 nucleotides) under uncultured bacterium. RNAcentral describes it as "partial 16S ribosomal RNA". It matches the Rfam family "Bacterial small subunit ribosomal RNA", at positions 338 to 795 of the family's 1533-position model. The record is from RNAcentral.